Molecule: ribosomal RNA, 609 nt
Filed under: Salmonella enterica
Lineage: Bacteria; Pseudomonadati; Pseudomonadota; Gammaproteobacteria; Enterobacterales; Enterobacteriaceae
Description: partial 23S ribosomal RNA
Rfam family: Bacterial large subunit ribosomal RNA
Source: RNAcentral
AAUCCAUAGGUUAAUGAGGCGAACCGGGGGAACUGAAACAUCUAAGUACCCCGAGGAAAAGAAAUCAACCGAGAUUCCCCCAGUAGCGGCGAGCGAACGGGGAGGAGCCCAGAGCCUGAAUCAGCAUGUGUGUUAGUGGAAGCGUCUGGAAAGGCGCGCGAUACAGGGUGACAGCCCCGUACACAAAAGCGCAUGUGCUGUGAGCUCGAUGAGUAGGGCGGGACACGUGGUAUCCUGUCUGAAUAUGGGGGGACCAUCCUCCAAGGCUAAAUACUCCUGACUGACCGAUAGUGAACCAGUACCGUGAGGGAAAGGCGAAAAGAACCCCGGCGAGGGGAGUGAAAAAGAACCUGAAACCGUGUACGUACAAGCAGUGGGAGCACAGGUUUACCUGUGUGACUGCGUACCUUUUGUAUAAUGGGUCAGCGACUUAUAUUCUGUAGCAAGGUUAACCGAAUAGGGGAGCCGGAGGGAAACCGAGUCUUAAUUGGGCGUUAAGUUGCAGGGUAUAGACCCGAAACCCGGUGAUCUAGCCAUGGGCAGGUUGAAGGUUGGGUAACACUAACUGGAGGACCGAACCGACUAAUGUUGAAAAAUUAGCGGAUGACC